This 440-nucleotide ribosomal RNA is filed under the name uncultured bacterium. Its description in RNAcentral is "partial 16S ribosomal RNA". It matches the Rfam family "Bacterial small subunit ribosomal RNA", at positions 338 to 795 of the family's 1533-position model. The record is from RNAcentral.
CCUACGGGCGGCAGCAGUGGGGGAUAUUGCACAAUGGGGGAAACCCUGAUGCAGCGACGCCGCGUGUGGGAAGACGGUCCUCUGGAUUGUAAACCACUGUCCCCAGGGACGAAGAUGACGGUACCUGGGGAGGAAGCCCCGGCUAACUACGUGCCAGCAGCCGCGGUAAUACGUAGGGAGCGAGGUUUGUCCGGAAUUACUGGGUGAAAAGGGAGCGUAGGCGGGGAUGCAAGUUGGGUGUCAAAACUACCGGCUAAACUGGGAGUCGCACUCAAAACUGCAGCUCUUGAGUGAAGUAGAGGCAGGCGGAAUUCCUAGUGUAGCGGUGAAAUGCGUAGAUAUUAGGAGGAACACCAGUGGCGAAGGCGGCCUGCUGGGCUUUUACUGACGCUGAGGCUCGAAAGUGUGGGGAGCAAACAGGAUUAGAUACCCGGGUAGUC